CACGGGGGGGGCAAGCGUUGUUCGGAAUUACUGGGCGUAAAGAGCGCGCAGGCGGUCGGAUAAGUCGAAUGUGAAAGCCCCCGGCUCAACUGGGGAGGGUCAUUCGAUACUGUUCGACUCGAAGGCAGGAGAGGGAAGUGGAAUUCCCGGUGUAGUGGUGAAAUGCGUAGAUAUCGGGAGGAACACCAGUGGCGAAGGCGACUUCCUGGCCUGUUCUUGACGCUGAGGCGCGAAAGCUAGGGGAGCAAACGGG
Molecule: ribosomal RNA, 253 nt
Filed under: uncultured bacterium
Lineage: Bacteria
Description: partial 16S ribosomal RNA
Rfam family: Bacterial small subunit ribosomal RNA
Source: RNAcentral